This 424-nucleotide ribosomal RNA is filed under the name Acanthamoeba genotype T4. RNAcentral describes it as "SSU rRNA". It matches the Rfam family "Eukaryotic small subunit ribosomal RNA", at positions 785 to 1097 of the family's 1831-position model. The record is from RNAcentral. Lineage: Eukaryota; Discosea; Longamoebia; Acanthamoebidae.
CUUUUUUUUCUUGCCACCGAAUACAUUAGCAUGGGAUAAUGGAAUAGGACCCUGUCCUCCUAUUUUCAGUUGGUUUUGGCAGCGCGAGGACUAGGGUAAUGAUUAAUAGGGAUAGUUGGGGGCAUUAAUAUUUAAUUGUCAGAGGUGAAAUUCUUGGAUUUAUGAAAGAUUAACUUCUGCGAAAGCAUCUGCCAAGGAUGUUUUCAUUAAUCAAGAACGAAAGUUAGGGGAUCGAAGACGAUCAGAUACCGUCGUAGUCUUAACCAUAAACGAUGCCGACCAGCGAUUAGGAGACGUUGAAUACAAAACACCACCAUCGGCGCGGUCGUCCUUGGCGUCUCUGUCCCUUUCAACGGGGGCAGGCGCGAGGGCGGUUUAGCCCGGUGGCACCGGUGAAUGACUCCCCUAGGCUUUGUGUGGAAAA